AUUGCGACCCGACCUGAGUGGAGCUCUUUUUGUGAAACGGAGUGGAACAAAAAAGCGGGAACGGAGGGCGGAUUAAGUC
RNAcentral lists this unclassified non-coding RNA (79 nucleotides) under Kaistella jeonii. Its description in RNAcentral is "Chryseobacterium jeonii Flavo-1 RNA". Lineage: Bacteria; Pseudomonadati; Bacteroidota; Flavobacteriia; Flavobacteriales; Weeksellaceae. The record is from RNAcentral.